Panicum virgatum (switchgrass) is the source of this 155-nucleotide long non-coding RNA. RefSeq lists it as uncharacterized. The record is from RefSeq and is a predicted model, not a curated record. The transcript is spliced from 2 exons. Lineage: Eukaryota; Viridiplantae; Streptophyta; Magnoliopsida; Poales; Poaceae.
CCCGGGGUGAUCUCGACCAUCGAUGGGAUUGCACGGAGGUUUUUUUUUCUAGCCAUAUAUGGCUGCUUAGGUGUCUAUUAAGAGUCUAGGAGCAUAUUUCGUAGAAUAUGCUGCCGUUGGAGUCUAUAUAUAUGUAAACUGCCCUUUGGGCUUAA